RNAcentral lists this ribosomal RNA (520 nucleotides) under uncultured Glomus. RNAcentral's name for it is "SSU rRNA". It matches the Rfam family "Eukaryotic small subunit ribosomal RNA", at positions 569 to 1089 of the family's 1831-position model. The record is from RNAcentral. Lineage: Eukaryota; Fungi; Glomeromycota; Glomeromycetes; Glomerales; Glomeraceae.
AGCAGCCGCGGUAAUUCCAGCUCCAAUAGCGUAUAUUAAAGUUGUUGCAGUUAAAAAGCUCGUAGUUGAAUUUCGGGGUUAGUAGGUUGGUCAUGCCUCUGGUAUGUACUGGUCUCACUGAUUCCUCCUUCCUGAUGAACCUUAAUGCCAUUUAUUUGGUGUUUUGGGGAAUUUGGACUGUUACUUUGAAAAAAUUAGAGUGUUUAAAGCAAGCUAACGCUUGAAUACAUUAGCAUGGAAUAAUGAAAUAGGACGUUCGAUCCUAUUUUGUUGGUUUCUAGGAUCGACGUAAUGAUUAAUAGGGAUAGUUGGGGGCAUUAGUAUUCAAUUAUCAGAGGUGAAAUUCUUGGAUUUAUUGAAGACUAACUACUGCGAAAGCAUUUGCCAAGGAUGUUUUCUAUUAAUCAAGAACGAAAGUUAGGGGAUCGAAGACGAUCAGAUACCGUCGUAGUCUUAACCAUAAACUAUGCCGACUAGGGAUCGGAUGAUGUUAAUUUUUUAAUGACUCAUUCGGCGCCUU